GGAUGUGAGGGUGAUCUGGCUGCGACAUCUGUCACCCCACUGAUUGUCAGGGUUCCUUUGUCUGGGGGUGAUUGCCAGGGUUGAUUUGGCUGACCUGGCUGGCUAGGCGGGUGUCCCCUUCCUCCCUCACCACUCCACGUAUGUCCCUCCCAAAGCUGUGUGCUUGGUCAACGAGGAUGACCACCCCCAACAGAGGAGGGCCAGUCUUGCGGUCAAGGGUACACAAGUAGCUGGGCUCCCAUGUUAGAACCUUCAAACAAGCUCUCAAGAACAUGGAAAAUCUGAAACUCACAUUGCUGGUUGCUGGAAGGAAUAUAAAAUGCUGCAAACACUUUAAAAAGCAUUUUGGCAGUUU
RNAcentral lists this small nuclear RNA (355 nucleotides) under Cebus imitator (Panamanian white-faced capuchin). RNAcentral's name for it is "7SK RNA (ENSCCAG00000004384.1)". It matches the Rfam family "7SK RNA". From Rfam's summary of the family: 7SK was discovered as an abundant small nuclear RNA in the mid-70s but a possible function has only recently been suggested. Two independent studies have found that 7SK RNA binds the CDK9/cyclin T complex (known as elongation factor P-TEFb). P-TEFb activates transcription by phosphorylating the C-terminal domain of RNA polymerase II. The record is from RNAcentral. Lineage: Eukaryota; Metazoa; Chordata; Mammalia; Primates; Cebidae.